Molecule: ribosomal RNA, 253 nt
Filed under: uncultured bacterium
Lineage: Bacteria
Description: partial 16S ribosomal RNA
Rfam family: Bacterial small subunit ribosomal RNA
Source: RNAcentral
UACAGAGGAGCCAAGCGUUGUCCGGAUUGACUGGGCGUAAAGCGCACGCAGGCGGACGCGCGCGUGGGGUGUGAAAUCUGGCCGCUUAACGGCCAGGCGCCAUCCCAUACGGCGCGACUGGAGUGAUGCAGAGGUCGAUGGAAUUGCCGGUGUAGUGGUGAAAUGCGUAGAUAUCGGGAGGAACACCAGUGGCGAAGGCGACUUCCUGGCCUGUUCUUGACGCUGAGGCGCGAAAGCUAGGGGAGCAAACGGG